AACCGCCGAUGGCCCGCGUAAGCGGGAUCAGGUAAGGGUGAAAGGGUGCGGUAAGAGCGCACCGCGCGGCUGGUAACAGUCCGUGGCACGGUAAACUCCACCCGGAGCAAGGCCAAAUAGGGGUUCACAUGGUACGGCCCGUACUGAACCCGGGUAGGCUGCUUGAGCCAGUGAGCGAUUGCUGGCCUAGAUGAAUGACUGUCCACGACAGAACCCGGCUUAUCGGUCAGCUUCAACU
RNAcentral lists this RNase P RNA (238 nucleotides) under Escherichia coli. RNAcentral's name for it is "partial RNase P RNA component class A". It matches the Rfam family "Bacterial RNase P class A", at positions 124 to 367 of the family's 367-position model. Rfam says of the family: Ribonuclease P (RNase P) is a ubiquitous endoribonuclease, found in archaea, bacteria and eukarya as well as chloroplasts and mitochondria. Its best characterised activity is the generation of mature 5'-ends of tRNAs by cleaving the 5'-leader elements of precursor-tRNAs. Cellular RNase Ps are ribonucleoproteins. The record is from RNAcentral. Lineage: Bacteria; Pseudomonadati; Pseudomonadota; Gammaproteobacteria; Enterobacterales; Enterobacteriaceae.